GAAGAGGAAUACACAGAUUUUUUGCUGACGGACUUGGCCCCAGCUUUGCAGGCUAACUGAAACUCCCAAGGCCUUGAGAUUUUUGAAAACUGCCAUAUUUCCUCUAGUUGAAGACUCAUUUUAUAUUUUUUCACAUGUUAACAUUUAUGAAAUUGGGAUGUGUAAUGUAUGCCCUGUCAAAAAAAUUUCCAGCAGCUGUGCAGAGGAGUGACAUGCCAACGUGGCCUGCCUCGCCUGCGGCCACACCACCUUCGCCAGCUUCGUGGAAGUAUCUGUUCAUCCAUUGUGUCACUCUGUUUUGUUAUUUUCAUUGGUAGGCACAGCACACUGUUAACUUAGAUUCAUGUUCCUAAUUGCCACUGAAAGCGUCUCUCACAAGAUAACUCUGCUUUACUGUAUUGGAGCAAAAGUCAUCAUCAUGCGUGCAAAAGAUUGCCUGGCAUAUGCCAGGCAUUAAGCAUUGCCCCACUGCACAGAGUAAAUGGUACAAUUUUCAAAGCAAGGGGAAAUUGGCAUGACUACUUCAUGCAUCAUUAAAAAAAAAAAAAAAAACUAUUAUUCAAGCUCCAAAAUCUUUAAAAGCUUCUAGUGAUUUUCAAAAGAAGUUACUUAAUGUUUAUCUUUAAAAUAAGGAAAAACAGAAUUAUAAGUUUAGCCAAAGAGGAAAUGCCAAUAAACCACUAGGAUUCUCUAUGAUACCCUAAAAUUACAUUGUCAAUCUUAAGCGUGCUGAAGAGGCCAAGCUCAUAAGCAUGGCUGGAAAGUGGCGUUCUCCAUCCCGCUGUGAGUAACUGUGGGUGUCCGAAAUCAUGUGGAAGAAUAUUUAGUCUCUGAUAAUGAAACAGGCCAGAGUUAAACUUUGGUAAUGAAAGCAGCAUGUAAUGGCAUGGAUAAGUGAAUUCCAAAGUCAUUUAAGAAGACACACAGUAAGAUGUGCGCCUCUCUCUCUGUCUCCCUUUCUCUAUCUCUUCCUUUCUUUUCCCCCUUUUUCCUUUCUUUCUUUUUUUUCUUGGGGGGGGGGAGGACAGAGUUUCACUCUUGUUGCCCAAGCUGGAGUUUGAUGGCACCACCUUGGCUCACCACAACCUCUGCCUACUGAGUUCAAGCGAUUCUUCUGCCUCAGCCUCCCGAGUAGCUGGGAUUACAGGCAUAUGCCACCACACCCAGCUAAUUUUGUAUUUUUAGUAGAGAUGGGGUUUCUCCAUGUUGCUCAGGCUGGUCUCGAACUCUCGACCUCAGGUGAUCCGCCUGACUCAGCCUCCCAAAGUGCUGGGAUUACAGGCGUGAGCCACCGCGCCUGACCUCUCCCUUCUUUGUUUCUAAUCUCUCUUCCUUCCUUCUUUUCUUUCCUUCUCCCACUGAAAUGCUGCUAUUAAAUUGAUAGAGUAUCUUAUAACUGAUGGCAUCUUAGAACUGGGGAAAUAGAGUGUUUGUCAGGCUGCUUGAUUUAGCAACUGAGGGUUGAAGGGAUGGGGGUAAUUUCAAAUCAGUGAGAUUACUGGAUUUCUUUUUAAAAGGUGCUGAUGAGAUAGAAUCACCAUAACAGAGUCAGGCACAGAUGAAAAGAUCAGCAAAGGCCAGGUUCCCUCGACUUAUUUUGAAUGGAUGGAGAAACGGUGAAUCUUGGGUUUAUGAGCAUGACCAGUGGGUCAUAUGGGCAGAAAAGCAAGUGGCAGUCUCAAAAGAAGAGGGCAUUUAGAAUCCGAGGUUCAAGCUGGAAGAGAUCUUGGUCACCUCCUUGCUGAAUGCCUUAAUUCAACAAAUGAGGAAAAUGGGCUCAUACGGCAGGAAUAAUCUAUAGAACUAGGACAGGAUCCUAGGUGUCCAGCCCCUAUUCUAUGGAUUUUCAUCUGGAGAAGUCAGUCAUGUACCUGUCUCAGGGCCUUUGCACCUCUUUUCUCUUUGCUCAGAUCAUUCUUCCCCUAAAUAGCCACAUGGCUUUCUUCCUCAUCUCCUUCAAGUUUUUGCUUAAAUUUCAAUUUCUCAGUGAGGUCUUCUCUGACCAUUUAGACCAGAAUAUGCCAUCUUAAAAUAUGACUAUAGAAGACCAGAAUAUGCCACCCCAAAAUAUGCUUCUUGGGCAUAAGGAUUAUUUUGAGCUGAUUAUUUUGAGAAACUGCAGACACAGGAGUUCUAAUCUGAAAACAGAUCCCUGUGCAGGGGAAAUCUACAUCUAUAAAGGAAAUCUCCGCUUGUAAGAGUAUCUCCCUCUCAGUAUCAGGGCAAGAAGGAUGUGUGGAAGUCACUGGAAUCUCUAGUCAAUGAAGCAGGUGCUGACUUGAUUCUGCAUAACAAACCUUACCCUUGUCUACCAUGAGUUUCCUGGUGACCUCCCCACAGCACUCUGACCAGUAAUGCAGGAGAGCUGAGGUCUCGGCAUCCUCCUUCACACCUGAUUGAGCAGUCAUUAUAUAUCUCCUAUCUAUCAGGCACUACAAGAGUUCCUGGAGGAUACUGGUCUGAAGUUAGCAUGACCUUGACCCAAGAAACUUAUAGUCCUGAUAAGAACUUCCAUCAGAACUCCAGAUAAGGUAGCACAGGCCUUGCUGUUUGCCCAGGCCCAUGGGGUCAGUCCUCUUGGGUACCGUGGCAUGCAGAUGAGGGUGCUCACCCAAGACACCCUGUAGUGCUGAUUACUGGCUGAAGGCACUGAAUAUCUGAUAUAGUUUGGACAAAUCUCAUGUUGAAAGUAGAUCCCCAGUGUUGGAGGUGGGGCCUGGUGGGAGGUAUUUGGAUUGUGGGGUCAGAUCCUUUAUGGCCAUUUGGUCCCAUCCUCGUGGUAAUGAGCAAGUUCUUGAUCUACUAGUUCCUGAGAGAUCUGGUUGCUAAAAAGAGUCUAGCAGCAUCCUCCACUCCCUCUCCUCCUCUCUUACCAUGUGAUAUGCAUACACCGGCUACCCUUUACCUACUGCUCCAGCGCCACGCUUCAUGUACAGCCUGUAGAACUCUGAGCCAAAUAAACCUCUUUUCUUUAUAGAUUAUUGACUUUCAGAUAUUCCUUUAUAGUGACAGGAAUAGACCAAGACAAAAUCUAUGUAUCAUCUAUCUAUCUGUCUCCCUACUCCCACUUCUGUGAUGGGAGACUUAUCGCCUGGUCCUGCCCUCGACCCAAGCUUCUGUGACCAUCUCCCACUCAAAUCUGCCCCAACAGUAACCUCAAGUGGGCUUGAGUCCUUGUCACCCCA
Chlorocebus sabaeus (green monkey) is the source of this 3185-nucleotide non-coding RNA. The record is from RefSeq and is a predicted model, not a curated record. Lineage: Eukaryota; Metazoa; Chordata; Mammalia; Primates; Cercopithecidae.